RNAcentral lists this ribosomal RNA (492 nucleotides) under uncultured bacterium. RNAcentral describes it as "partial 16S ribosomal RNA". It matches the Rfam family "Bacterial small subunit ribosomal RNA", at positions 29 to 507 of the family's 1533-position model. The record is from RNAcentral.
AGUGAACGCUGGCGGUAGGCUUAACACAUGCAAGUCGAACGGCAGCACCGUAAGAGCUUGCUCUUACGGGUGGCGAGUGGCGGACGGGUGAGGUAUACAUCGGAAUCUACUUUUUCGUGGGGGAUAACGUAGGGAAACUUACGCUAAUACCGCAUACGACCUACGGGUGAAAGCAGGGGAUCUUCGGACCUUGCGCGAUUGCAUGAGCCGAUGUCGGAUUAGCUAGUUGGCGGGGUAAAGGCCCACCAAGGCGACGAUCCGUAGCUGGUCUGAGGGGAUGUUCAGCCACACUGGAACUGAGACACGGUCCAGAGUCCUACGGAAGGCACCGGUGGGGAAGAGUGGACAAAGGGCGGAAGCCUGAUCCAGCCGUACCGCGUGGGUGAAGAAGGCCUUCGGGUUGUAAAGCCCUUUUGUUGGGAAAGAAAAGCAGCAGGUUAAUACCCCGCUGUUCUGACGGUACCCAAAGAAUAAGCACCGGCUAACUUCGUG